This 21-nucleotide non-coding RNA is filed under the name Arabidopsis thaliana (thale cress). Lineage: Eukaryota; Viridiplantae; Streptophyta; Magnoliopsida; Brassicales; Brassicaceae. The record is from RNAcentral.
GGAUUGUCAGUUAUUCUUGGU